This is a long non-coding RNA of Cercocebus atys (sooty mangabey), 1125 nucleotides long. RefSeq lists it as uncharacterized. NCBI's taxonomy places the organism in Eukaryota, Metazoa, Chordata, Mammalia, Primates, Cercopithecidae. The transcript has 2 exons. The record is from RefSeq and is a predicted model, not a curated record.
GAUGUCAAGCUUCAUCACUUUUCAUCUCUGGAUAAAUGAGAUGUAACCCCAGCUGCCGUCCUUGUUCAGAUCUGUACAAUAAAGAGCAAAGCAUAAAACCAAGUCAAGGCUUUGAGGGAGUGACCUACAAAAUGUAUAAUGUGAAACAAUGCAAAUGUGAAAUGUGCAAAAUUCCCAUGAAGGAGCUGGAUGCUGACAGAUGCGCCAGUGAUAAUUCCCAUCUUCCAACACAGGAGCACAGCUUCCAUUUUCCAUGACAGAACAACAGUCAGAGCAGCUGUAAGGCAGGGUGACAUCCCAGACUUCCACCAACAAUGGGAUGAGAUUUGACAUCUGGAAUCACAACCACAACAGACCUAAGAGACCCACCAGCUUGAUGACGAGCUUCUUCUUUCAAAGAAAGGUAUAAGUCUGGGGGACCUAGUACUGCAAACCAUGACAAAUUAAGUGUGGCAUCCCUCACUUGCCUGAUGGAACUCAGUGAUAUUUUUUAAUUAACAAGAGUUAUUUUUAUGCAAGCUUCUCUCUUUCCUCCACUGUGUGUGCUUGGGGGCUGGUGGUGAGGAAAAAGAAAACAGCUGUGUGGGAAGCAUCAAGAAAAGGCAGGGCAUGCAAUCUUAGAGAUCAGUGACAUGUAAGAAAAACAGUGAGGAGAAAAACAUUUCUACUAAAUUUUUCCAUUUGUUUACCUUCCUUGUCAUAUAGACUUCCAAGAGUUGGAAGUCCAGGAUUUGAUCUCCAAAUCUUCCUGGCAGAUUACUCAUCUUCAUUUCAUUCAUAUAGUCCAGGGGUUUGUACAAAGGAAGAUGCCAGUUCUUUCCCAAUCAUAACUGAGGUAUCAAGAGAUAUUCUUUUGAAAUGUAACAAAGCAGAUCUAAAGUUCAUCUAAAAAAAAAUGGGUAAGUAUAUUGACAAAUAUUUUGGCAAAAUAAAAGUAAUGAGGAGAUACUAGCAUUAGCCUCAUCAGGCAUUAAAAUAUAUUAUAAAGUUAUAAUAUGUAAAACAGCUUGGGGCUGGCACUGAAACUGACAGUUCAAUUGAAGAGAAUAGACAAGCAAGAAGUAAAUCUUGAUGUAUGCAAGAAUUUAAUAAAUUUGAAAGAUGGUAAGGAAAGAUAGGAUUGCU